AGCGAAACCCACUUAAAAUGUGGAUUGAAAUUGAAAUCGAAUCGAAGGGAGAGCGAUUGUUCCAACCCUAGAAUCAGUCUGAAAUUGAAGCUCUUUAAGUAUCGAUGAGGUUUGAUUUCAGUGGAUUUGAUUGUGUGUGGUUUCUUCAUUCUUCAGUCGUAUCGAGGAUCAAUUAGAGUGAUUUCAAUUUAGUCUAUGCGGCUUCUUCUCUCAUAUUUAGGCUAUGCGGCUUCUUCUCUCACAGUCAUCGUGUGUGCUAUUGGUUUCAAUGGCGGCCAAAAGAUUUCUUCCCUCGCAGAUUUCUUGAGUUUUGAUCAGAAUUCACAUUUACUUCAUUGUUUAAGGUACAUUGAGAUAGUUCACUUGUCUUUCGCAGGUUUUUGGAAUUGUGUAAUCUGGAAUCAGCUAGAAUGAUCUUCAAGGCAAUCUCAUACAUGUCAUGACUCUUGUUGGAAUAUAAAAAGGAUAAAUGGGAUAAUUUUCAUCACAAAAAGCUUACAAAUGUCACAUCUUUAUGCAGAAAAGAAGAGUUCAUUGUUUUGAGCAGAAGAAAGUAGAAAGAAAUACAAAAGCAGAACGAAUUUAGAUUACGGGGAAUGUUGUUCUUCCUCACUCUCACUUGCCUAUGAUGAGUUUGGCUCUGGCAUCUCCUUUGUUGAUCUGGAACUGAUCUGUUAGUCCGAAGUGAGCCAUUAGAAGCCACACGAAGUUUAUGAGCUCUCCGCCUCUGCUGAGUUGCUCCACGUGAGCCGUAGAGUCGCAAUGACAGGCUGCAUAACAGAGAAGUUCCACCCACACUUUACUCAGUAUCUCCCAUUUAUCUUUGUUGUGUGUCUUCUCCAUCUCUGCAAGGUCUUUGGCUAGCCUGCUCGCGUCAAACAAUACAGACUUGCUUCGAUCUCCCUUCACUCCCAUUGGUUCAAUUUCACUUUCGACGUCCAGAAUAUUUAGGGUGGCUGUCUCCACGCUUCUAUCGUUCUCGAUAUGCCUCCUCUGGAAGAACUUGUGAGUUUCAGCCAAUGUGUCUCUGAAUCUGAUCUUCCCAAUUCCAGCAACCUCGGACAUCAGACCGGGUUGCAAGAUCAGGAGAUACAUCAUGUAGUCUGAGAUGAUUUUGCUGAACUCGCGGUUACUGUAAUGCUUGCGUUGUUCAUCAUAACCCUCUGGGAUAGUCUCUUUCUCAUGUUGUUGGUAACAGAGCUCGGUUGCGAUGUGCCACAUCAAAAGACUCUGAUCAUAAUCGACCUUUGUGACAUAGCGUACCAGUUUUUCACGUUCUGCAUCCACCGGCAGGUUCUCUCUUAAAGUCCAUUCUCCCCGAGCCAAAGAUAUCCUCUUGGCAUUUUCAGGACUGUCUCCAUACUUUGAUUUGUUUUUCAGCUCUUCGAAGAUGAACUUCCACAAUUCUCUCGUCAUGGGCUCUCCAUGUACAAAUAGUGUCUUGUGGACCAUAUCAAGCGUAUCCGAGAUGUCAAAGAACUCACUGAGGAUAUCCCACACUGAUUUGAUGAAGUGAGGGAUGCGGGAUAUGAACUCGAAAUAGAUAGGGUAAAGAAAACGACGAGCCCAAAGAUGCUUUCUUGAUAACGCAUUGACUUCGUGGCUGAUCCGUCUGUGCACUUCAUUGAUCAACUUGACAAUCGAUCCAAAAAUUUUCUUUAUGACGAAGUUGAGUUUUUUGAAUGGAAAAGUUAUGAUCUUCCAUGAGUAGCGGCGGAAACUACCUCUGGCGUCGUGGAUCCUCUCUACAUCUGCUUUUGUGGCGUACGCUAUAAAGUUAAAAACGUUGAUGCUUCCACUCCACCUCCGAAGGAAGAAACGCGUUGUGAGAACGUCAUGCUUAUCUACCAAUGAACACUUAUCAGCAGCUUCCUUCUUAUCGUCACCUUCCUUCUUAUUGCCACCUUCAUUCUUAUUGCCACCUUCCUUCUUAUCAGCACCUUUCAUGAUACACGGUUUCAAACCUUCUUUGGUACACUUAUGCAUACCAGUCUUGUGGCACUCUUGCGGCGUCCAACGCAGCUUUCUGAAUUUAAGUAACCAGUUAAAACAUCUCUCUUGCCAUGAUUGAAGCUCAUCCGGAUCGUCCUUCAAACUACUGUAUGCAGCACAUGUCCAGUCUGAGAACAGGAACAAAAGGAUGGAUAUGAAAUCCAAAACUAGGCCAACUGCAAACAGCGUAUAAGUAACUACGACAUCAGCUCCAUGAAAAUCUGUGCCUUUGUUAGGUUUCUUAUGAAAAAUGAUGAAUGCAGCCACAAGGGUACCAGAAGCAAAGACCCGUGAGACAGUUCCAAUACCGGUAUGAAGAAUCGCGAUCUUGGUGAAUAGAGCAUCAUAGAGAAAGCCGAGCUCAAUCUCAAUGAUCCUCAAAGCUUCCUCUGGAUCAUUUAAAUUCUCAAAGAUCUCUAGGCUCUCGUCACGCUCCCUGAAGCUGAAGAUAAGGUUGACUACAAGGCCCUUGAAUGUGUUGAAGAAUUUGUAAGCAUACUGAACAAUCUCAAGAUCGGUCAAAUCUUUUUUUCUUUUCUUCGAAGCUAAUGCUGGAUGCUCUAACUUCUUAGGCCUAUUUUCUUUGUCAGGCUCAUCAAUCAGAACGAUCUUGGUGGGAAGUCUUGCCUCUUUCUUGGCCUUGUACUCCUCCAUGAGCUUGGCGUAGUUUGGUCCUGGAUCUGGUGCUUGAAUCAUAGAGUCCCUAAACUUGUCCAAACUUGCACUAUACAGAGCCGUUGUCCUCUCCAGAUACUUUAUAGUCCCAGAAACAAACACUAAGACUAUAACCACCCAAAGGCUAUUGGGCAGAGACAUGACAACCACAUAGACACCAGCAAUUGCCUGAAAGACAAGCCCAAAGACAUGUCGUAGCCAGAGAGCGUUAUCUUCAAGCGCGAAAGCUGUGAUAGUGUCUGGUCCACCAAGAUGCAAGAGCAAGAAUGGUGCCCAUAAAGCCAUUACCUUUUUGUCCUGUGGAGGGUCAUCAGGUUUGAGAUCUUUACCUUGAUUCUUGGAGAUAAGACCAACAGCGAAAUUAGCAGACCAAUCUGCUAAGAGAUAAGAGGACCAAACAAGCACGAUCAAGAGCCUUCUUGGUGUACGUUUCCUUAGAGGAGAGAAGCAAAUGAGAAUGGCUUGAAGGAAGCUCUCACUGGAGCGAGAAGAAAGACGACUCUGCAACUCAGAGUUCAGGACUAAAUCGAGAUUCUUGGUUGCAUCACUUCUGAGAUUCUGAAGUUUUUCUCUGGUCGGAUGAUGUUCACUAUUGCUGCUUCAUAAUGGUGGAUUCAAAGAGAGAGUAUCAGAGAAAUCAAUCAAGCUCACAUAAAUGAAUUUAUCAGGGACAGAAGAAGGACAUGAGUUACAACAAUGCAGAUGAUUCAAGAACAGAUUGUUUUGCUGGCAAACAGUUGAAGACUACUCUUUGAAACAAAACAAAAAAAACACAAUGGAAGCAAAUGAGGGAAACUAAUCAAUUGCUGCUACUUUCGUUGCUUAUUGGAUGAUGAUCACUUGCCUAUAAUCAGUUUGGCUCUGGCAUCUCCUUGGUUGAUUUGGAAUUGGUCUCCUAGUCCAAAAUGAGCCAUCAAUAGCCAAACAAAGCUUAUGAGUUCUCCUCCUUUGCUUAGCUGAGCUGCGUGUUCUAUAGCGCCACACUUUGUCGCUGCAUACGAAAGCAACUCAACCCACACUUGGCUCAUUAUUUUCCACAUCUCUGAGUCGUCCUCCUUAUUCUUUCUUAAACCCUUAAGCUCUUUCGCCAGCAUGGCCCCAUCAAACAGGACGGAUUUGCUUCUAUCUCCUUUCACGUCAAUGGGCUCAGCUUUUGCUGGAACUGCCACUGAUAAAAUUGCCACGCUGGCUUCCUUUGCAUCAGGGGCCUUCUUUGCGGAUAUCCCCAUGAUAUGCCUCCUAUCGAAGAACCUCUGAGCCUCCUCGCACGUGUCUCUGAAUCUUAUCUUUCCAAUACCCACAACAGCUGACAUCAGAGUGGGUUGCAUCAUUAGGAGAUACAUCAUGUAGUCUGACAGGAUUUUACUGAACUCACGGGCGCUAUGAUUCGCUUUAGUGCCUUUUUUUGUCUGGUAUAAGAGCUCAGUGGCUAUAUGCCAUACAAGAAGGCUCUGAUCGUAAUCCAUUUCCAUCACAUAGCGUAGAAGUUUCUCACGUUUUUUUUCUGUUUCUGGGUCACCUUGUAUGUCGCGCAGUGUCCAGUCACCUCUUGCUGAAGAUACCCUCAUGGCGCUUUCAGAGUCGUCAGCGAAACGGGAUUUGGCUUUAACCUCUCCGAAUAUGUGUUCCCACAUAUCCAGGGUGAGACGAUCACUAGAUGUGUAGAUCACCUCAUCUAGCUGAGCUCGGAUGCCAAAGAACUCCAUAAAACUUUUUAUCCAGCGUCCAGGUAGACUAGGAAUGUAAAAUAUGCAGAAGAAGCUAAACCUAAUGUACUCUUCAUUCAACUUCGGGUAUUUCUUGCAUAAACGACUUACUUUACCGUCAAUCCACUUGAAAGUCUGAUGAAUUCUCUGUUUUGUGACUCUAAAACAGGAUUCAAUGACACUUCCAAGUUUUGUGAAUGCGGGGCCAAUGUAAAGUAUGUUGAUAACCUUGUCAAAGGCGAUGUGUAUGAAACCCUUGGUAUGGUGGAUUCGCUUCGGUUUUAAACCUAGGCAGUAUUCGAUCAGGUUGUGUGCAUGUACAUACUCAGACCACCGGCGAUACAUGAAACUCGUGUCGAGCACUUUAUGACAUGGUAUUGUCUUGGCACUCUUGUCGGGCACUUCCUGACCUGGUAUUUUGCUGGUACUCUUGUCGAGAACUUCAUGAGACUUCUCUGUCUUCAACUCCCUCACCCUGAGAAUCCUGUUAAGAAUCCUUUUAAGAAAUGGUGUUUUCUUAGUACUCGUGUUGGGCACUUCAUGAGACUGUGUAUUCUUGUAGCAUUCAUCAUACUCCUCCACCUUCAAUUUCCUGACCCCGAGAAUGUUUUCAAGAAUCCAGUUAAGAAUGUUGUCGGACCAGGUGGGUGGAUCGUCCACUUCGUCCUUCAUCUUCCUCAAUCUGACAAACGUCCAAUCAGAUGCACAGAACAUGAUAAGAGCGAUGCAAUCCAGAGCUAUUCCUCCUAACAGCAAUGCGUAAGUAAGGCCAACAUCAAAUCCACUAUAAUCUUUCUUGCUCUUGUAUUGAAAGAUGCGUAGAGCUGCUGCAAGGCAUCCCAGGGCAAUGAACCUGAAGAGGAAUCCUAUCCAGUUGUGCAAGAUCUCGGCUUUCGUGUAUAGAGCUGCGUAGAUAAAGUUGAGCUCAACCUCUAAGAUUCUUAAAGCUUCUUCUGCUUUCAGCGAGUCAAAGAAUCUCUUGCUCUCAGCUCGUUGUUGAAAUGUAAAGAUGAGAUCAACCACAAGACCUUUGAAGAUAUUAAAGUACUUGUAGGCGUACUGGAGAAUAUUGAGUGGAGUGAACCCGUCAGGAGGCUUUACCGGAGCAUCGUCUCUUGGAUCUUUCUCAGGCUCGCCAACCUUGAUAAUCUGUGUAGGCAUCUUCAUAUCUUUCUUGGCUGCGUAUUCCUCCAUGAGCUUUGCGUAGUUUGGUCCAGGAUCAGGCCGCUGAAUCAUGGAAUCUUUGAACUUGUCAAGACUCGCCAGGUACAAAGCUAAUGUCCUCUCGACAUACUUGAUCACCCCGGUCGCAAACACCAGCAAAAUAGGUUUCCAAAGAGCAUUGGGUAACGACUGCAAAAGCACGUAAACGGUUGCAACUGAUUGAAAGAAAAGACCCAACAAGUGCCUGAGCCAGAGCUCGUUAUCUUCAAGGGCAAGGGCAGUGAUUGUAUCUGGACCACCGAGAUGCAAGAGCAAGAAAGGAACCCAGAAAGCAAACAACUCGGCGCUCUUUUUCGGUUCUCCGGGUUCUGGAUCAUCUCCUUGACUAUCUGAGAUUUGUCCGGCGGCGAAAUUGGCAGACCAAUCAGCAAGAAGGUAAGCUGACCAAAUGAAAGAGAGUAAAACUUUUCUGGAUGAGCGUUUUCUUUGAGGUGCAAAGAAAAUGAGAAAUGUUUGAAGGCUGAGACUGAAGAUUAAGGUACUUCGAAUGCUCCAUUCGUCCCAAAUGUCCUUGAUAGGCUUUGGGAUUGCGUUCACCAUCUUGAAACUGAUUUGCUGAAACAGACAAGAACUGAUGGUUUAUGAGAUCUAACACAGAUACAUCUAAAGAGGUUGACUUCUUUCUUUUUCUGGUUUUACUAUGAGUUUUUUUGCUUUUGAGGCUUUUUGUUGUGUGUGAAGGUUUGAAUUAUUCUGGUUGGACAGCCAUUGGAGGCUACUUGGAGACCUUGAGAUUUCUCCGUUUUUCCUUGAAU
RNAcentral lists this long non-coding RNA (6352 nucleotides) under Arabidopsis thaliana (thale cress). Its description in RNAcentral is "potential natural antisense gene, locus overlaps with AT5G45470 (AT5G45472)". Lineage: Eukaryota; Viridiplantae; Streptophyta; Magnoliopsida; Brassicales; Brassicaceae. The record is from RNAcentral.